RNAcentral lists this ribosomal RNA (464 nucleotides) under uncultured Acidovorax sp. Its description in RNAcentral is "bacterial SSU rRNA". It matches the Rfam family "Bacterial small subunit ribosomal RNA", at positions 917 to 1381 of the family's 1533-position model. Lineage: Bacteria; Pseudomonadati; Pseudomonadota; Betaproteobacteria; Burkholderiales; Comamonadaceae. The record is from RNAcentral.
GACGGGACCGCACAAGCGGUGGAUGAUGUGGUUAAUUCGAUGCAACGCGAAAACCUUACCACCUUGACAUGUACGGAAUCCUUUAGAGAUAGAGGAGUGCUCGAAAGAGAGCCGUAACACAGGUGCUGCAUGGCUGUCGUCAGCUCGUGUCGUGAGAUGUUGGGUUAAGUCCCGCAACGAGCGCAACCCUUGUCAUUAGUUGCUACAUUCAGUUGGGCACUCUAAUGAGACUGCCGGUGACAAACCGGAGGAAGGUGGGGAUGACGUCAAGUCCUCAUGGCCCUUAUAGGUGGGGCUACACACGUCAUACAAUGGAUGGUACAAAGGGUCGCCAACCCGCGAGGGGGAGCCAAUCCCAUAAAGCCAUUCGUAGUCCGGAUCGCAGUCUGCAACUCGACUGCGUGAAGUCGGAAUCGCUAGUAAUCGUGGAUCAGCACGCCGCGGUGAAUACGUUCCCGGGCCUU